Small nuclear RNA from Ochotona princeps (American pika), 81 nucleotides. Its record names the gene U4. It matches the Rfam family "U4 spliceosomal RNA". Rfam says of the family: U4 small nuclear RNA (U4 snRNA) is a component of the major U2-dependent spliceosome. The structure of U4 snRNA from yeast and human has been reported. NCBI's taxonomy places the organism in Eukaryota, Metazoa, Chordata, Mammalia, Lagomorpha, Ochotonidae. The record is from Ensembl.
AGCUUUGCGCAGUGGCAGUAUCAUAGCCAGUGAGGUUUAUCUGAGGCAUGAUUAUUGCUAAUUGAAAACAUUUUUCUUUUC